UACGGAAGGCAGCAGUGGGGAAUAUUGCACAAUGGGCGAAAGCCUGAUGCAGCUAUGCCGCGUGUAUGAAGAAGGCCUUAGGGUUGUAAAGUACUUUCAUCGGGGAGGAAAAAACAAAACUAAUAAUUUUAUUUCUUGACGUUACCCGAAAAAGAAGCACCGGCUAACUCCGUGCCAGCAGCCGCGGUAAUACGGAGGGUGCUAGCGUUAAUCAGAAUUACUGGGCGUAAAGAGCACGUAGGUGGUUUUUUUAGGUCAGAUGUGAAAUCCCUGGGCUUAACCUGGAACUGCAUUUUGAAACUGAAAUACUGAGUAUCGUAGAGGGAGGUAGAAUUCUAGGUGUAGCGGUGAAAUGCGUAGAUAUCUGGAGGAUACCUGUGGCGAAAGCGGCCUCCUAAACGAAUACUGACACUGAGGUGCGAAAGCGUGGGGAGCAAACAGGGAUUAGAUACC
RNAcentral lists this ribosomal RNA (453 nucleotides) under uncultured bacterium. RNAcentral describes it as "bacterial SSU rRNA". It matches the Rfam family "Bacterial small subunit ribosomal RNA", at positions 340 to 786 of the family's 1533-position model. The record is from RNAcentral.